CACAUUACACACUCCGCUAACUUCAGGUUAAUAAUAAUAAUAAUAAUAAUAAUAAAUUUUAUUUAUAUCCCACCCUCCCCAGCCAAAGCCAGGCUCAGGGCGGCUAACAACAAACAAAUAAACAAUCAAAUAAUCCAACAUUCUAAAACAUUUCAUUAUAAAAAUUAAUUAAAAUCAAAUUAAUGGCAACCGUUAAGCAAAGUUCUGUGCAGGUUGCCAGAGGAGGGAGUCAGGCUGGGCCCUGACCAAAGGCCUGGUGGAACAACUCUGUCUUGCAGGCCUUGCAGGAAAGAUGUCAGGUCCCGCAGGGCCCUAGUCUCUUGUGACAGAGCGUUCCACCAGAUUGGAGCCGCAGCCGAGAAAGCCCUGGCUCUAGUUGAGGCCAGCCUAACCUCUCUGAGGCCUGGGACCUUCAGGAUGUUUUUAUUUGCAGACCGUAGGUUCCUCUGUGGGGCAUACCAGGAGAGGCGGUCCCGUAGGUACGAGGGUCCUAGGCCGUAUAGGGCUUUAAAGGUUAAAACCAGCACCUUAAACCUGAUCCUGUACUCCACCGGGAGCCAGUGCAGCUGGUAUAGUACCGGAUGAAUGUGAUCUCGCUGGUAUUCCCAGCCUCAACAAGCUCAGUCAAUGAGUCGCCAGGGGGAGCAAGGUCCUGCAAGGCUUGGCGGAAUCUAUCAGGGUCCAUCAGCCUCUGCGGGCGAGCCCAAAUCGGCUCGCCACCUAAGCAGGGGUGGGGGUGGAAAGUCAAUCCUGGCUUUCAGAGCGUAGUGAUCAGACCAUGGUACCUUAAUUGGAAGGAGACAUGAUCACAUCUAUACCUACGCCAAAGAUCAAAUCUUGAUGUGUGGGGCCUGAAACAAACUGGGAGAGCCCUAGUGUUGCCAUGGAAGACACCAGGUCCAGAGCCUGUGAGGAGGGAGGGGCAUCAGCAUGGAUGUUGAAGUCCCCCAUACCAAUAGGUUAGGAACCCAAGGCCCAGCCGGCCACCGCCUCCAGCAGGCCUGACAGGGUGGCUGCUGGUGCGCUAGGUGGCCUGUACACCAGCCAGACAGCCAAGCUCACCUCAGAGCCCCAUACUAGGCCAACACAUUCAAUGCCGGGAUCGAUGGCGAUGGUAGAGCCCUGAAAGGACAAUCUUCCCGGAUUAAUAAUGCCACCCUCCCCCGGCCCACAGUCCGCGACUGGUGGAGGACGGAGAAACCCGGGCGCCAUCUCACGUAGGUAACUGGUGCCCCUUCGCGUACCCAGGUCUCCGUCACACAAGCCAGGUCGACCCCCUGCGAGGUAAAGAAAUCUCGCAGAGUGGCGGUUUUGUUGCCUAUAGACCUGGCAUUGCACAACACCAGUGACGGAGGUGAACUUUGCUUCAGGAUAAGAACAGAAAUGGGGCUCCGGGCAGCAGCGGCAGCAGGAGGUCCCAUUAGCUAAAGUGGUGCUUCAGGUUAAGAACAGUUUCAGGUUAAGAACAGAGCUCCGGAAUAAAUUAAGUACUUAACCUGGGGUACCACUGUAUCUCUCCCAUAUGCUCAUUAGUAAUUUCCCAAUUAUAUGGUUAUAAAAACUUUUAUGUACCUUCCCUUUCCCAUGCCAUAAAUAUGCGUGCCUGCCAAAUCUGUUGUCAUGUCCUUCCAAUUCUAAUGCUUCUUGCUUUUCCAAGUUCACCCAGUUCCUAAUCCAUACAAGGCAUGCAGCUUCAUAAUAUAAUGAAAGAUCUGUGAGGGCAAAACCAGCUCUGUCUUUUAUGUCUGUAAGUAUCUUGUGUUUUAUCCUUGGCCUUUUGCCCCGCCCCUCCUCCCCGAUAAACUUGGAAAUUUCUUUCUGCCACUUUUUGAAACAUUCAUCUUUCACAAUUACUGGGACUGAUUGAAAGAGGAAUAGCAUUUUUGGCAGAACAUUCAUUUUAACCACUUAAAUUGAUCUAUUCUAAAUACUGGCCUAUGCAAUAGCCUGAUCUAUUUGAAAGCUUAAAAUGCAUGAGAAUCCUCCAUUAGGGUGUAGGCAAUAAAACACUAUACAUUGAACAUAAAAGCAAUUAUACACAAAAAUUGGGUCCCCCCUUUGUGGAAAUAACAUACUGUCAUUCACAUGUUAGCAUUCCUACAUAAUAUCACACAAUACACCACAUACUAAUUAAAUAUCAGUUGCCUAUCUUGAGGCAAUUGUGAUCUUUUACAUAUCUUUUCAAUCCUGGGGCACAGAGUCUUGAGGUUUAAAAGGUGAGAGAAUGUGCUUGCAAUUCAACUUUCUCCCCUUUGUCAGCCCCCUCCCUGUCCAUCUAUAUCUUUGGAAAGAGAUAGCUGUGGCCACUCUGGUGUCUUUUGUUAUUGUUGUUGUUGUUGCAGGUAAUAAAUAGUCUUGUGGUGACGAGGUCUGUGUUGACAUCUGUAGAAGGGAUAUCCUGUAAGCGGGGGGUGGGGGGGGAGCAGGACUUUUGGGACUUAAAGACACAGUUAUAAAGGGAAGAGGUAAAAACCAAAAAGGGGAGAAUCUCCUUGAGUUUUCUUGGGAAGCUGCAAGCAUUUUAUUCAGUUCACUAUUAUUAUCUUAGAGAGUUAAGCAUUUUAUUCAUUUCAAUAUUAUGAUCACAUUUCCAUAUACCGGUAUUUACUACUGUUAUUAUAUGCU
Podarcis lilfordi (Lilford's wall lizard) is the source of this 2625-nucleotide non-coding RNA. NCBI's taxonomy places the organism in Eukaryota, Metazoa, Chordata, Lepidosauria, Squamata, Lacertidae. The record is from the annotation of a GenBank genome assembly.